AAGUCGAGCGAACAGACGAGGAGCUUGCUCCUCUGACGUUAGCGGCGGACGGGUGAGUAACACGUGGAUAACCUACCUAUAAGACUGGGAUAACUUCGGGAAACCGGAGCUAAUACCGGAUAAUAUAUUGAACCGCAUGGUUCAAUAGUGAAAGACGGUUUUGCUGUCACUUAUAGAUGGAUCCGCGCCGCAUUAGCUAGUUGGUAAGGCAACGGCUUACCAAGGCAACGAUGCGUAGCCGACCUGAGAGGGUGAUCGGCCACACUGGAACUGAGACACGGUCCAGACUCCUACGGGAGGCAGCAGUAGGGAAUCUUCCGCAAUGGGCGAAAGCCUGACGGAGCAACGCCGCGUGAGUGAUGAAGGUCUUCGGAUCGUAAAACUCUGUUAUUAGGGAAGAACAAAUGUGUAAGUAACUAUGCACGUCUUGACGGUACCUAAUCAGAAAGCCACGGCUAACUACGUGCCAGCAGCCGCGGUAAUACGUAGGUGGCAAGCGUUAUCCGGAAUUAUUGGGCGUAAAGCGCGCGUAGGCGGUUUUUUAAGUCUGAUGUGAAAGCCCACGGCUCAACCGUGGAGGGUCAUUGGAAACUGGAAAACUUGAGUGCAGAAGAGGAAAGUGGAAUUCCAUGUGUAGCGGUGAAAUGCGCAGAGAUAUGGAGGAACACCAGUGGCGAAGGCGGCUUUCUNGGUCUGUAACUGACGCUGAUGUGCGAAAGCGUGGGGA
Molecule: ribosomal RNA, 727 nt
Filed under: uncultured Staphylococcus sp.
Lineage: Bacteria; Bacillati; Bacillota; Bacilli; Caryophanales; Staphylococcaceae
Description: bacterial SSU rRNA
Rfam family: Bacterial small subunit ribosomal RNA
Source: RNAcentral